CAGCAACCUGCAGGAGGUCGCGGAGGGGCUGAAAAAGGACCUGAAGCAGAGGGAGCAGUCCCUCGCCAAGCUGAAGCUGAAAUUAAAGAGAGUUGAGGCCGACGCGAAGGCUGUUGAGAAUGCAUACGAGGCUGAGAAGGAAAAGUUCAUG
This 151-nucleotide ribosomal RNA is filed under the name Lotharella oceanica. Its description in RNAcentral is "partial Bacterial large subunit ribosomal RNA". The record is from RNAcentral. Lineage: Eukaryota; Cercozoa; Chlorarachniophyceae.